AAUGGUGAGAAUCCAUUCCACCGAAAGCCUAAGGGUUCCUGAGCAACGAUCGUCGUCUCAGGGUAAGUCGGGACCUAAGCCGAGGCGGAAAAGCGUAGGCGAUGGACAACAGGUUGAAAUUCCUGUACCGGUGUGAAUCGUUUGAUCGAAGGAGUGACACAGUAAGGUAGGUCAGCACGCGAUUGGAAGUGCGUGUUUAAGCAUGUAGGUUGAGUUAUAGGCAAAUCCGUAGCUCUAAAAGCUGAGAUGUGAUGACGAGCUGUUUACAGCGAAGUGAUUGAUCCUACACUGUCGAGAAAAGCUUCUAGGUAGAGACACAUCGCCCGUACCAAAACCGACACAGGUAGGCGGGGAGAGAAUCCUAAGGUGCGCGGGAAAACCCUCGUUAAGGAACUCGGCAAAAUGCCUCCGUAACUUCGGGAAAAGGAGGACUCAUGUAGUGUGAAGGGCAGUAACGCGUGGAGCAUGAAUGAGUGGCACAAGAGAGGCGCAAGCGACUGUUUACCACAAACACAGGUGCCUGCUAAAGCGAAAGCUGAUGUAUAGGUGCUGACACCUGCCCGGUGCUGGAAGGUUAAGAGGAGGGGUUAGACUUUGGUCGAAGCUCUGAAUUGAAGCCCCAGUAAACGGCGGCCGUAACUAUAACGGUCCUAAGGUAGCGAAAUUCCUUGUCGGGUAAGUUCCGACCCGCACGAAAGGUGUAACGACUUGCGCACUGUCUCAACGAGGGACCCGGUGAAAUUGAAGUACCUGUGAAGAUGCAGGUUACCCGCGACUGGACAGAAAGACCCCAUGGAGCUUUACUGCAACCUAAGAUUGAACUUAGUUAAUGAAUGUACAGGAUAGGUGGGAGACUUAGAAUCUAGGGCGCCAGUCUUAGAGGAGUCGUUGUUGGGAUACCACCCUUUGAUUAAUUGAUUUCUAACAGGCCGAUUAACAACCGGCUGGACAGUCUUAGGCGGGCAGUUUGACUGGGGCGGUCGCCUCCUAAAGAGUAACGGAGGCGCCCAAAGGUUCCCUCAGAGCGGACGGAAAUCGCUCGAAGAGUGUAAAGGCAGAAGGGAGCUUGACUGCGAGACGGACAGGUCGAGCAGGGACGAAAGUCGGGCUUAGUGAUCCGGUGGUGCCGAGUGGAAGGGCCAUCGCUCAACGGAUAAAAGCUACCCUGGGGAUAACAGGCUAAUCUCUCCCAAGAGUCCAUAUCGACGGGGAGGUUUGGCACCUCGAUGUCGGCUCAUCACAUCCUGGGGCUGAAGUAGGUCCCAAGGGUUCGGCUGUUCGCCGAUUAAAGUGGUACGUGAGCUGGGUUCAGAACGUCGUGAGACAGUUCGGUCCCUAUCCAUCGCGGGCGCAAGAAACUUGAAGGGGGCUGCUCCUAGUACGAGAGGACCGGAGUGGACGAACCGCUGGUGUACCAAUUAUCCUGCCAAGGGUACAGUUGGGUAGCUACGUUCGGGACGGAUAAACGCUGAAAGCAUCUAAGCGUGAAACCAGCCUUGAGAUGAGGUUUCUCAUAGCAUAAGCUAGUAAGAUCCCAUGUAGACGACAUGGUUGAUAGGCCAGGUGUGGAAGAGCUGUGAGGCUUGGAGCUGACUGGUACUAAUAGAUCGAGGGCUUUACUUA
This 1623-nucleotide ribosomal RNA is filed under the name human gut metagenome. RNAcentral's name for it is "bacterial LSU rRNA". It matches the Rfam family "Bacterial large subunit ribosomal RNA", at positions 1317 to 2925 of the family's 2925-position model. The record is from RNAcentral.